CUGAACCAGCCAAGUAGCGUGAAGGAUGAAGGCUCUAUGGGUCGUAAACUUCUUUUAUAUAAGAAUAAAGUGCAGUAUGUAUACUGUUUUGUAUGUAUUAUAUGAAUAAGGAUCGGCUAACUCCGUGCCAGCAGCCGCGGUAAUACGGAGGAUCCGAGCGUUAUCCGGAUUUAUUGGGUUUAAAGGGAGCGUAGGUGGACUGGUAAGUCAGUUGUGAAAGUUUGCGG
This 227-nucleotide ribosomal RNA is filed under the name uncultured bacterium. RNAcentral describes it as "partial 16S ribosomal RNA". It matches the Rfam family "Bacterial small subunit ribosomal RNA", at positions 383 to 607 of the family's 1533-position model. The record is from RNAcentral. RNAcentral also lists the same sequence under 1 other name.